GAUGAACGCUAGCUACAGGCUUAACACAUGCAAGUCGAGGGGAAACGAUAUUGGAAGCUUGCUUCCGAUAGGCGUCGACCGGCGCACGGGUGAGUAACGCGUAUCCAACCUGCCCAUCACUUGGGGAUAACCUUGCGAAAGUAAGACUAAUACCCAAUGACGUCUCUAGAAGACAUCUGAAAGAGAUUAAAGAUUUAUCGGUGAUGGAUGGGGAUGCGUCUGAUUAGCUUGUUGGCGGGGUAACGGCCCACCAAGGCGACGAUCAGUAGGGGUUCUGAGAGGAAGGUCCCCCACAUUGGAACUGAGACACGGUCCAAACUCCUACGGGAGGCAGCAGUGAGGAAUAUUGGUCAAUGGACGAGAGUCUGAACCAGCCAAGUAGCGUGCAGGAUGACGGCCCUAUGGGUUGUAAACUGCUUUUAUAAGGGAAUAAAGUGAGUCUCGUGAGACUUUUUGCAUGUACCUUAUGAAUAAGGACCGGCUAAUUCCGUG
RNAcentral lists this ribosomal RNA (492 nucleotides) under uncultured bacterium. RNAcentral describes it as "bacterial SSU rRNA". It matches the Rfam family "Bacterial small subunit ribosomal RNA", at positions 28 to 507 of the family's 1533-position model. The record is from RNAcentral.